GUUUAGAUAAAGCUCCAAGGCUCUCAAAGCUUUUAACUUAAUUGCUUCUAAAAAUAUCUUUUGGAGAGGCAAGCUGAAGUUCAAGAUCCAAGCACUCUUGUUUGCUGUAGAAGAGAACAUGCACAGGAGACCUCAGAAACCAAUGUCAAUAUUAGAAGCUUAAAGACCUGAGACACGGUUCGAUUCCUCUGGGAAGAUCGCACAUGCCACGGAGCAGUGGGAUCUGCAAGCCCGUGCACCACAACGCCUGAGCCCUUGCUCUAGAGCCGGAGCUCUGCAACGAGAGAAGCUAUGCAACGAGAGGCCAGGGCACCGCAGCUAGAGAGGAGCCCCGCUCGGCGCAGCUAGAGAACAGCCCAGACAGCAGAAAAGACCCAGUGCAGCCAAAAAAUAAAAAAGUUAAAAUUUUUAAAAUCUUUAAAAAA
Long non-coding RNA from Bos taurus (domestic cattle), 425 nucleotides. NCBI's taxonomy places the organism in Eukaryota, Metazoa, Chordata, Mammalia, Artiodactyla, Bovidae. The record is from Ensembl.